Molecule: long non-coding RNA, 319 nt
Filed under: Mytilus galloprovincialis (Mediterranean mussel)
Lineage: Eukaryota; Metazoa; Mollusca; Bivalvia; Mytilida; Mytilidae
Source: RNAcentral
CUUCUUGAUUGUCUUCAAUACUGAUGACCUUUUAAUACAGAAGUAAUUUUAGACUUCUUAUUCGCUGAUGAGAAAGCCUUGCUGAUGGUGAGACAGUGAGAACAUUCUAUUUCCUAGCAAAUAUCUCUCUCUUCUCAUUUGUGUUGCAACUGUGUGUUGACUUGGUGGUUUUCAAGACUUCAGCGAGAUUCACAUUGCCGUUUUUUUCCUUUUUUUCAAAGCAUAUGAGUUCCAUUUCAAUUUAUUUUUAUUUGAGCUUGCAAUUUUUUAACAUCAACGGGAAUAAUCAAAGACAGAUCAGAGCCUUAUUCAAGUAUCA